UGCAUGUAGUGUGAUGUUCAUGAGUGUGUGAUGUGCACUGUGAGGUGCGUGGUGCAAGUCUGGGUACAUUUUGUGUUGUGUGUGUUUGAUGUGCACUUGUGUGCUUAUGUGUGUGUGCAACACUUCAGUGGUUGCUUCUUCCAGCCAGAGUAACCAACUCGUCUUGACUUGCCGCCUGAGACUUCCCAGAUUUUAGCACUGAAAGUCCCAGGCAGUCGGGAGGAAACUCCUCAACCCCUGCGAAGGGAGAUGAUUGGAUUCUCCAAUCCCCAGCUUGCCAGGGUUCUCACGGAACGGCCGCCAGCCCUGUGCGGAGGUGCUCAGCGCCCUCUGCUGGCCCCGACUGGGGCGUGCGGCCUGCGCAGCCCAGGCCUUGGCCGCAGACUCCCCUCUCCAGUCUGCGGUUCAAGCUCUGGCGCCUUCCCUUCCCUGGAUUCCUCGCCUGCGUACACAAGAGAGUUCCUGCAAAGCAAGGCAAACGAUCUCCACCCUCCCCCCAGGGUGACAGGACUCUUCUCCUACCCCUUUAAAUCUGGGCCACACUACACCACGUAAGAGAAGCAGCCAUAUGUUAAGCGCCUGCUGUAUGCAGGCCCUGCACGCUGCUUUCCCACCAGGACCAGACAAGCCCCUCUGGCUCAGUUCCUACACCCGAAGGCCCAAACUAGCUCUGCCUGUUGUCCUUUCACCCCUGCCCAGGCCACAGGCUUUUUUCUGACUACCUCUAGGGUCAUUUCUGGAGGGCAGUUUGAAUAGGUGGCAUUUUAGGAUAAUUACCAAUGAUGCAAGAGCAAAAAAGAAAUAUCAGUGGAAAAGAGGUCAAAAGACAGUCUCUGAAAAGAGAGGCAAAAUUAUAGUGAGCCUUUACUGAGCACUUACUAUGUGCUAGAGGCUCUGCUAAGUGGUUUUUGUUUUCAACUCUUCGUAGAAAACCUAUAAGGUAGGUUUCAUUUCAUGGAUGAGGAAACUGAGGCACAGAAAGAUGGAGGGACUGGUGCCAGGUUAUCUGACCGGAUGAGUCUGACACCAAAGUCACACUCUUAACCACCACGCUACACUUUGCAAGUCUGCCACUCUCCAGAUCAGAGACUGGGCAAGUUACAUGGGCUGGAAGUGUUUCAAGUUUUUUCUUCUUAGAAUGGGGAGAACUCACACGGGUCCAUGGGGAGACACUUGGGGAAAUGCUUAUCACAGCAUCCUUGGUGGUGCCGAGGAGCUGGAAGCCACCUGGGUGUCACGUCACAGGGCAAGAGGAGCUGGGUGCACCCUAUGAGAUACUCAGCCUGAGUUAGAAGCAACAGACUCUGGGUACAUUCAACAGUGAAAGGAGACCUUAAAAAUCCCCUGCUGAGUGAAAAAGUAAGGCACAGAAGGCGGCCUACAGCACUGUAUCAUUAGGGGAAAUGUAAAUCCGUGCACACUAACCAAUCCAUUCUUUACAGGAACAGAUCGAACUCAAUGAAAUGGUUGUGCUGUGGGAAAGGGAGGGUCCUCAGGGCAGAGGUGGGGAUAAAACUGAAUGAAUACUCAGGCAAAAUAGACAGGAGCCCAUGAUGGAACCACAAACAGGAACGGCAUUAACUCAGCCCUCGAAAGCUGCUGUCAAAGAAGGGGCGGGAGGAACAAGCCCUGCCCAUUUAGCCUCCUGUAGCGUGGACGGCUUUCAAAGUUCUUCCAGGCCCCAGCUCUCCUUUGAUCAUCCCGGCACCCAGUGCAGGGACAAUGGAUUCCUAGGACCAAAGAGGCUGCUGAGUGAGCCAGUGCUUUAUAUUCUACAUCUAGGGACGAACUUGAGCGUGCAUCAGAACACCUAGAGGGCUUGUUAAAAUACAGAUUCCUGGCCUCCAAUCCUAUAGUUUCUGAUCCAGUGGGUGUGAGAUUCAACAUUUGCAUUUCUGCAAACUCCUGGUACUGCUGCUCCACCCUGAGCCAGAGGGACUUGUCUGGUCCUGGUGGGAAAGCAGUGCGUGCAGGGCCCGCAUACAGCAGGCGCUUAACAUGUGGCUGUUUCUCUUAUGUGUUGUAAUGUGGCCCAGAUUUAAAGGGGUAGGAGAAGAGUCCUGUCACCCUGGGGGGAGGGUGGAGAUCGUAUGCAAAUGCAAAUUCAACAUUUGCAUUUCUGGAAACUCCUGGUACUCCUGGUACUGCCGAUCCAGAGACACUUUGAGAACCUCUGCUCUAAGGCACACUCCUUAUGCCAAACAGACUGGCCACAGCAGUGCUCCUCAGACUUUAAGGUGCGUGUGAAUGAUCUAGGCAUCCUGUUAAAAUGCAGUCAAAUUCAGCAGGUCAGGAGGGCAGCCUCAGAUGCUCCCUUUCUAUCAAAGGCACUCCAAGGUGGCACCAGCACUGCUGGCCCACAGAGCACAUUUUUCAACAGCAAGGAGUUACACCGCGACUUCCCAAACGUAUGUGCACACCCAACCCCCCUCACUUGUUAAAGGCGUAAUUGCUUGUUAAAGACAUAGAGAUGUUCAGACCCCCUCACUGGCAAUGCUCCAGAGUUCUGAGUUGGAGCCCAGUAAUCUGAAUUUUUUUAAGCUGAUGCUAGAUAGUCUGGGGAACUAGCG
Cercocebus atys (sooty mangabey) is the source of this 2570-nucleotide long non-coding RNA. RefSeq lists it as uncharacterized. NCBI's taxonomy places the organism in Eukaryota, Metazoa, Chordata, Mammalia, Primates, Cercopithecidae. The transcript is spliced from 2 exons. The record is from RefSeq and is a predicted model, not a curated record.